CGCGGGAUAGAGCAGCCUGGUAGCUCGUCAGGCUCAUAACCUGAAGGCCGCUGGUUCGAAUCCAGCUCCCGCAC
RNAcentral lists this transfer RNA (74 nucleotides) under Holosporales bacterium. Its description in RNAcentral is "tRNA-Met". It matches the Rfam family "tRNA". From Rfam's summary of the family: Transfer RNA (tRNA) molecules are approximately 80 nucleotides in length. Their secondary structure includes four short double-helical elements and three loops (D, anti-codon, and T loops). Further hydrogen bonds mediate the characteristic L-shaped molecular structure. tRNAs have two regions of fundamental functional importance: the anti-codon, which is responsible for specific mRNA codon recognition, and the 3' end, to which the tRNAs corresponding amino acid is attached (by aminoacyl-tRNA synthetases). tRNAs cope with the degeneracy of the genetic code in two manners: having more than one tRNA (with a specific anti-codon) for a particular amino acid; and 'wobble' base-pairing, i.e. permitting non-standard base-pairing at the 3rd anti-codon position. Lineage: Bacteria; Pseudomonadati; Pseudomonadota; Alphaproteobacteria; Holosporales. The record is from RNAcentral.